Long non-coding RNA from Perca flavescens (yellow perch), 811 nucleotides. RefSeq lists it as uncharacterized. The record is from RefSeq and is a predicted model, not a curated record. The transcript is spliced from 2 exons. Lineage: Eukaryota; Metazoa; Chordata; Actinopteri; Perciformes; Percidae.
GUUAAAAAUCUAUAUUAAGAGCUAAGUUUAUAUUAAAAAGUCAAUUCAUUAAGUAUGUUAUUAAUGUUAAAGAUUAAAAACAUAUUUGUCUAAAAAGCAAUUCAACUGAGAGAGAAAAUAAAUAGGAAGUUUAUUUUGAAGGAGGUGGGUUGGGGAUGUGCUGUCAGCCAAUCAGGAAGAAGCUCGGACUGUUGACCUGCACGGAGCAGAGUUCACUUCCCCUUGAGCUGUUGGAAGAACGGAGAGCAAACCCCACGUCGAACGAUACCUACCUCGUCAAGACAUUCCAAUAGAAGUUGUUAAAACUCAGAAUAAAAACUCUUAAAAACAAUCCAGUGUGGAGCCCUGGACCUGUGAGAGUGCAGCCGGAGAGAAAUGACGUCCCCUCACGAAGAAAACGCAUCGGUCAGGUUUUUUUUGUUGGACCCUUUGAACCUUUGAUCUACCUGGAUGUUGGAGCCUGGAUCGAGACAUUGAUGGCGAGCCACAGCCCAGAGGAGAACUAGAGAUACGGCGCCUGCAGAUUUCAACACUUCAUUACACACACACGCACCCACCACCAACUGUGCGGUAGGACAAACUCUCUCCACUUCCACAGUGGACCAAACUGAACUGAAACAGAAUUGAAGUGACUGAGAACGGGGGGGGAAAUUCCGAACUUUAAAUCACAGCUGUGAGUUUUGUUUAAAUUUUUUAUUUUUCUACUUACCCGGGUAAGAUUUGUGUAAUUUUAAAGUGUUUAAUUUUUAUAUGUUUUGCUAUCCUUCCCACACUUGUAAUAAAAGGGAAGCGAUUUUGUUUCUCAAAGAAA